GGUGUAUUGUGUACAGGCUGUUAUUGUAAAAAAUAACAUGGAACAUUCAGCCAUCUUGAAUGAUUUUUAACUCAGGUACCUACAGAAAGCUUAUGGAAAGGUCGACACGCACCCAAGGGUUAUUGUAUUUGUAUUUCGGGUGUGGUGAUGAAAGGGUUAAAAUAAAUCCUUUUUAGUUAACAAGGGGGAUGUCAUUACCCAGUACCGUCUCAAUUUUAACUGAUCGCAUCUGCAGGUUCAUGGUGUGUGAAUGUGGAUACAAGCUGAAGAACCAAUGUAAUCAAUGCUGGAACUUUCCUAUCGAAAAACACAGAGGUCAUGAGAGUAAUAAAGAAGGGCAAGGACAAGGACAUGGAUGUCUCUGUUUAUUAAUGGAGGAGUGUAUGAUGCAAUCUGUACGUAAUUGCUCCAUCCACAUAAGCCUCUGAGAAGUGAGUAAUCCAGUGACAAACAGAUCAGGUAACAUGAUCAAUGUCUUCUGAGCUGCCUUAAAUGAGAAAAAUGUUGGCUUUCAUUUAGGUUCCACACUGUCCCAUUUUUCUUAUGUCACGGCACAUUCACAUGGAAAGGAAAGAUCUCGACAACAGCACAACAAACAGGAUUCUUCCCAAUGCAUAGGAUUAUACAGUUAGAAUACAGUAUUUGAACAUGUUUAUUUUCUUUUUUACAAAGGUAUAUGUUAUAAGAAACAAGAAAUAAAAAUAAUAACUGCACAGCAGUAAGAAAGGUAAUUGUCGAGUAUAGAUACAGUCAUUUAUUAUACACACAGAGGAACAGCUUAGAAUCACGUGGCAAAAAACACCAUUGGAACAGUUUGCGCUAUACUCAAUGCUCUACGUUUGUAAAUGUUUUGUCUUAAGACUAAUUUAGGAAUGCCAGACAUUUUAGGGGAAACCAGUCUACGGUUGGCCUCUGCUUUACACUUGUUUAUUCGGGCUGUUGCCAUAGCCAUCAUAGUCCUACUAUAAGCACACACCACAGACACCCAAAUUAAACAUACACAUCGAAUCUGCAACCGCGGAAAUGAUACUGAAAUGUGUCCAGCCGAUUGGCAAGGAAAGGCUGCAGCAGACUUCUAGUAUUUGACAACACACACAUAUCACGAUCGCAAAUACAUUGCUGUGUCUUCUAUUACUAUAAUCGCUUAGUUAUAAUCACCAAUAGAACAAUAGAAACAAUAUUAUCCUCUAAGGCACAUUUUGGUUAAAGAAAGGCUUGAAAUAAGCUUUUGCAUCACUCCGUCGGGAGUGGAGUCUGCCGUGGUAAACAAGAGCAGUGUUAGAGGAGGACGCAGUCUGCAGUCAGCAUGCAAUUAAGAUCAAACGUACCCCCGCUGACGCCAUUAUGCAGAGUGCCACUCUGUUCUGUGCUGAGUGGGCAGUGCCAAAUGUGGCUUGGCCGGGGUGCCAGGAUGCCAUGCUAGCCGCGGUGGUGGCAGGCAGGAAGGCCGGCAGGCACAGGCCCUGUGCAAACCUAACUCUACCAAAGGCAGGAAUAGCGCUAACAUUCUGGGGUCCGGGACUGAAAGGUCCAAACCGAGACUAGACCACACACACUGACUGAAUUCAGGGAGCUCGUCAAUUCAAACAAUAGUGGUCAGAAGUGUAUGAUGAGUACUUAAAGCGUCCCUAGAUAAGGUGCAGGGUAACGGAUGUCAAUGGCAAAAAUCCUAUAAAGCAAUUAACAAAUCAUACCAGGCACCAAGUCAACGCAUGCACUUUGAGAUUGUUUUUGUAUGAUUACAAGCGUGAUACAAAUGGAAUCAAUUAUUAUAACCAUUGGGUAACUAGAAUGCCAUAAUUUAUAUUGCAAUUCAUUAUUAAGUAUAUGAACUGACUUGACAUGUGCCACAUUGUACCAAUGAUGGUUUAUGUUGUAAAAAUAUUAUUAAAAACAUAAAAACACGUACCACUCUCUUUAGUACCUUUCAAAGCUUAAAUGCACCUAAUAAUAUCAUUUUAUUAGUGCGGUAAUAUGGCACCCAAUGGCAUAAAGAAACACAAAACAAUAUUAACAGUUUGUUGCAUGGUCCUAAUAAUUAGUU
This is a long non-coding RNA of Esox lucius (northern pike), 2044 nucleotides long. The record is from Ensembl. Lineage: Eukaryota; Metazoa; Chordata; Actinopteri; Esociformes; Esocidae.